This 498-nucleotide ribosomal RNA is filed under the name uncultured bacterium. Its description in RNAcentral is "partial 16S ribosomal RNA". It matches the Rfam family "Bacterial small subunit ribosomal RNA", at positions 30 to 523 of the family's 1533-position model. The record is from RNAcentral.
AUUGAACGCUGGCGGCAUGCCUUACACAUGCAAGUCGAACGGUAACAGGUCUUCGGAUGCUGACGAGUGGCGAACGGGUGAGUAAUACAUCGGAACGUGCCUAGUAGUGGGGGAUAACUACUCGAAAGAGUGGCUAAUACCGCAUGAGAUCUACGGAUGAAAGCAGGGGAUCGCAAGACCUUGUGCUACUAGAGCGGCCGAUGGCAGAUUAGGUAGGUGGUGGGAUAAAAGCUUACCAAGCCGACGAUCUGUAGCUGGUCUGAGCGGACGAUCAGCCCCACUGGGGCUGAGACACGGCCCGGACCCCUACGGGAGGGAGCAGUGGGGAAUUUUGGACAAUGGGCGAAAGCCUGAUCCAGCAAUGCCGCGUGCAGGAUGAAGGCCUUCGGGUUGUAAACUGCUUUUGUACGGAACGAAAAGCCCCGGGUUAAUACCCUGGGGUCAUGACGGUACCGUAAGAAUAAGCACCGGCUAACUACGUGCCAGCCGCCGCCGUAA